Diprion similis is the source of this 269-nucleotide long non-coding RNA. RefSeq lists it as uncharacterized. The transcript is spliced from 2 exons. Lineage: Eukaryota; Metazoa; Arthropoda; Insecta; Hymenoptera; Diprionidae. The record is from RefSeq and is a predicted model, not a curated record.
CUCACAUAUCAUGCGCAUAUGAGUAAUCAAAUAUCCCUUCAGAAUAUACAUGGAUAAGUUCUUUUUGAAGAGGACGGCUCAUCGUCGAGAUGUACAUAUGGAGACCCAGCUUUGGCUUGGUAUGCAAAAGCGAGUGCAACAGGUCAACAUUAACAAAAGAAUUGAAGAAACAAUCAAGUCUUGAUAUCACACACACGAUUUUUUGAUUAGACGAAUUUUAUGUUCAGCUGAAGGUAAAAAGUAUUUGGCGAGUAUAGUAAAACCCAUUC